UAGGGAAUCUUCGGCAAUGGGGGGAACCCUGACCGAGCAACGCCGCGUGAGUGAAGAAGGUUUUCGGAUCGUAAAGCUCUGUUGUUAAGGAAGAACGAGUGUGAGAAUGGAAAGUUCAUACUGUGACGGUACUUAACCAGAAAGGGACGGCUAACUACGUGCCAGCAGCCGCGGUAAUACGUAGGUCCCGAGCGUUGUCCGGAUUUAUUGGGCGUAAAGCGAGCGCAGGCGGUUAGAUAAGUCUGAAGUUAAAGGCAGUGGCUCAACCAUUGUAGGCUUUGGAAACUGUUUAACUUGAGUGCAGAAGGGGAGAGUGUAAUUCCAUGUGUAGCAGUGAAAUGCGUAGAUAUAUGGAGGAACACCGGUGGCGAAAGCGGCUCUCUGGUCUGUAACUGACGCUGAGGCUCGAAAGCGUGGGGAGCGAACAGG
Molecule: ribosomal RNA, 429 nt
Filed under: Bacteroidota bacterium
Lineage: Bacteria; Pseudomonadati; Bacteroidota
Description: Bacteroidetes bacterium partial 16S ribosomal RNA
Rfam family: Bacterial small subunit ribosomal RNA
Source: RNAcentral